Molecule: ribosomal RNA, 231 nt
Filed under: uncultured bacterium
Lineage: Bacteria
Description: partial 16S ribosomal RNA
Rfam family: Bacterial small subunit ribosomal RNA
Source: RNAcentral
UAACGAAGGGUGCAAACGUUGCUCGGAAUUAUUGGGCGUAAAGCGCACGUAGGCGGCAUCGCAAGUCCCAUGUGAAAGCCCACGGCUUAACCGUGGAAGUGCAUGGGAAACUGCAGUGCUUGAGUACUUAAGAGGAUCGCGGAAUUCCCGGUGUAGAGGUGAAAUUCGUAGAUAUCGGGAAGGAACACCAGUGGCGAAGGCGGCGAUCUGGGAAGAUACGUGACGCUGAGG